RNAcentral lists this ribosomal RNA (460 nucleotides) under uncultured bacterium. RNAcentral describes it as "partial 16S ribosomal RNA". It matches the Rfam family "Bacterial small subunit ribosomal RNA", at positions 338 to 795 of the family's 1533-position model. The record is from RNAcentral.
CCUACGUGAGGCAGCAGUGAGGAAUAUUGGUCAAUGGGCGCGAGCCUGAACCAGCCAAGUAGCGUGAAGGAUGACUGCCCUACGGGUUGUAAACUUCUUUUAUAAAGGAAUAAAGUUAGGCACGUGUGCCUUUUUGUAUGUACUUUAUGAAUAAGGAUCGGCUAACUCCGUGCCAGCAGCCGCGGUAAUACGGAGGAUCCGAGCGUUAUCCGGAUUUAUUGGGUUUAAAGGGAGCGUAGAUGGGUUGUUAAGUCAGUUGUGAAAGUUUGCGGCUCAACCGUAAAAUUGCAAUUGAUACUGGCAGUCUUGAGUACAGUUGAGGUAGGCGGAAUUCGUGGUGUAGCGGUGAAAUGCUUAGAUAUCACGAAGAACUCCGAUUGCGAAGGCAGCUUACUAAACUGCCACUGACAUUGAUGCUCGAAAGUGUGGGUAUCAAACAGGAUUAGAUACCCCAGUAGUC